UACGAAGGGUGCAAGCGUUACUCGGAAUUACUGGGCGUAAAGCGUGCGUAGGCGGUUUGUUAAGUCCGUUGUGAAAGCCCUGGGCUCAACCUGGGAAUUGCAGUGGAUACUGGCGAGCUAGAGUGCGGUAGAGGAUGGUGGAAUUCCCGGUGUAGCGGUGAAAUGCGUAGAGAUCGGGAGGAACACCCGUGGCGAAGGCGGCCAUCUGGACCAGCACUGACGCUGAGGCACGAAAGCGUGGGGAGCAACCAGG
This 253-nucleotide ribosomal RNA is filed under the name uncultured bacterium. Its description in RNAcentral is "partial 16S ribosomal RNA". It matches the Rfam family "Bacterial small subunit ribosomal RNA", at positions 524 to 776 of the family's 1533-position model. The record is from RNAcentral.